This is a long non-coding RNA of Oncorhynchus tshawytscha (Chinook salmon), 355 nucleotides long. The record is from Ensembl. NCBI's taxonomy places the organism in Eukaryota, Metazoa, Chordata, Actinopteri, Salmoniformes, Salmonidae.
GGAAAUGCUGACUUACAAGCCCUUAACCAACAGGUGUAGACUUUACUGGGAAAUGCUGACUGACAAGCCCUUAACCAACAGGUGUAGACUUUACCGUGAAAUGCUGACUUACAAGUCCUUAACCAACAGGUGUAGACUUUACUGUGAAAUGCUGACUUACAAGCCCUUAACCAACAGGUGUAGACUUUACUGUGAAAUGCUGACUUACAAGCCCUUAACCAACAGGUGUAGACUUUACCGUGAAAUGCUGACUUACAAGCCCUUAACCAACAGGUGUAGACUUUACUGUGAAAUGCUGACUUACAAGUCCUUAACCAACAGGUGUAGACUUUACUGUGAAAUGCUGACUGACAAG